RNAcentral lists this ribosomal RNA (484 nucleotides) under uncultured bacterium. RNAcentral describes it as "partial 16S ribosomal RNA". It matches the Rfam family "Bacterial small subunit ribosomal RNA", at positions 30 to 507 of the family's 1533-position model. The record is from RNAcentral.
AUUGAACGCUGGCGGCAGGCCUAACACAUGCAAGUCGAGCGGAUGAAGGGAGCUUGCUCCUGGAUUCAGCGGCGGACGGGUGAGUAAUGCCUAGGAAUCUGCCUGGUAGUGGGGGAUAACGUCCGGAAACGGGCGCUAAUACCGCAUACGUCCUGAGGGGGAAAGUGGGGGAUCUUCGGACCUCACGCUAUCAGAUGAGCCUAGGUCGGAUUAGCUAGUUGGUGGGGUAAAGGCCUACCAAGGCGACGAUCCGUAACUGGUCUGAGAGGAUGAUCAGUCACACGGGAACUGAGACACGGUCCAGACUCCUACGGGAGGCAGCAGUGGGGAAUAUUGGACAAUGGGCGGAAGCCUGAUCCAGCCAUGCCGCGUGUGUGAAGAAGGUCUUCGGAUUGUAAAGCACUUUAAGUUGGGAGGAAGGGCAGUAAGUUAAUACCUUGCUGUUUUGACGUUACCAACAGAAUAAGCACCGGCUAACUUCGUG